This 253-nucleotide ribosomal RNA is filed under the name uncultured bacterium. RNAcentral's name for it is "partial 16S ribosomal RNA". It matches the Rfam family "Bacterial small subunit ribosomal RNA", at positions 524 to 776 of the family's 1533-position model. The record is from RNAcentral.
UACGAAGGGGGCUAGCGUUGCUCGGAAUCACUGGGCGUAAAGGGUGCGUAGGCGGGCCUUUAAGUCAGGGGUGAAAUCCUGGAGCUCAACUCCAGAACUGCCUUUGAUACUGAGGAUCUUGAGUUCGGGAGAGGUGAGUGGAACUGCGAGUGUAGAGCUGAAAUUCGUAGAUAUCGGGAGGAACACCAGUGGCGAAGGCGGCUGUCUGGGCCAGUUCUGACGCUGAGGCGCGAAAGCGUGGGGAGCAAACAGG